Molecule: ribosomal RNA, 327 nt
Filed under: uncultured eukaryote
Lineage: Eukaryota
Description: partial 18S ribosomal RNA
Rfam family: Eukaryotic small subunit ribosomal RNA
Source: RNAcentral
CCCUUAGAUGUUCUGGGCCGCACGCGCGCUACACUGACGAAUGCAACGAGCUUAUAACCUUGGCCGAAAGGUCUGGGUAAUCUCCAAAUUUCGUCGUGAUGGGGAUAGAUUAUUGCAAUUAUUAAUCUUCAACGAGGAAUGCCUAGUAAGCGCAAGUCAUCAGCUUGCGUUGAUUACGUCCCUGCCCUUUGUACACACCGCCCGUCGCUCCUACCGAUUGAAUGGUCCGGUGAAGCGCUCGGACCGCGGCCUCUUGACGGUUCGCUGUCGAUUGGCUGUGGGAAGUUCGUUAAACCUUAUCAUUUAGAGGAAGGAAAAGUCGUAACA